UGAGAAGGACAGCUGAUGAAGAUUAUGUGU
Molecule: non-coding RNA, 30 nt
Filed under: Mus musculus (house mouse)
Lineage: Eukaryota; Metazoa; Chordata; Mammalia; Rodentia; Muridae
Source: RNAcentral